CCUACGGGGGGCAGCAGCUAAGAAUAUUCCGCAAUGGACGAAAGUCUGACGGAGCAACGCCGCGUGGAUGAUGAAGGUCGGAAGAUUGUAAAAUCCUUUUAUUAUUGAAGAAUAAACUGUACAGGGAAUGGUAUAGAGGUGACAGUAGGUAAUGAAUAAGCACCGGCUAAUUACGUGCCAGCAGCCGCGGUAACACGUAAGGUGCGAGCGUUAUUCGGAAUUAUUGGGCGUAAAGGGCACGCAGGCGGUUAUGCAAGCUUGGUGUGAAAUACUGGGGCUUAACCCCAGAACUGCAUUGAGAACUGCAAGACUAGAGUCAGUGAGGGGAAAUCGGAAUUCCAGGUGUAGGGGUGAAAUCUGUAGAUAUCUGGAAGAACACCAAUGGCGAAGGCAGAUUUCCAGCGCAUGACUGACGCUCAGGUGCGAAGGUGCGGGGAUCAAACAGGAUUAGAUACCCGGGUAGUC
This 465-nucleotide ribosomal RNA is filed under the name uncultured Treponema sp. RNAcentral's name for it is "bacterial SSU rRNA". It matches the Rfam family "Bacterial small subunit ribosomal RNA", at positions 338 to 795 of the family's 1533-position model. Lineage: Bacteria; Pseudomonadati; Spirochaetota; Spirochaetia; Treponematales; Treponemataceae. The record is from RNAcentral.